This 505-nucleotide ribosomal RNA is filed under the name uncultured Glomus. Its description in RNAcentral is "SSU rRNA". It matches the Rfam family "Eukaryotic small subunit ribosomal RNA", at positions 569 to 1075 of the family's 1831-position model. The record is from RNAcentral. Lineage: Eukaryota; Fungi; Glomeromycota; Glomeromycetes; Glomerales; Glomeraceae.
AGCAGCCGCGGUAAUUCCAGCUCCAAUAGCGUAUAUUAAAGUUGUUGCAGUUAAAAAGCUCGUAGUUGAAUUUCGGGACCAAUCUGCCGGUCGUGCCUCCGGUACGCACUGGUUUUAUUGGUUUCUCCCUUCUGACGAACCAUGAUGUCAUUAAUUUGGUGUCAUGGGGAAUCAGGACUGUUACUUUGAAAAAAUUAGAGUGUUUAUAGCAGGCUCACGCUUGAAUACAUUAGCAUGGAAUAAUGAAAUAGGACGUUUGACCCUAUUUUGUUGGUUUCUAGGAUCGACGUAAUGAUUAAUAGGGAUAGUUGGGGGCAUUAGUAUUCAAUUGUCAGAGGUGAAAUUCUUGGAUUUAUUGAAGACUAACUACUGCGAAAGCAUUUGCCAAGGAUGUUUUCAUUAAUCAAGAACGAAAGUUAGGAGAUCGAAGACGAUCAGAUACCGUCGUAGUCUUAACCAUAAACUAUGCCGACUAGGGAUCGGAUGAUGUUAAUUUUUUAAUGAC